CACGUAGGGCGCAAGCGUUGUCCGGAAUUAUUGGGCGUAAAGAGCUCGUAGGCGGUCUGUUGCGUCUGCUGUGAAAACCCGGGGCUUAACCCCUGGCUUGCAGUGGAUACGGACAGACUAGAGGUAGGUAGGGGAGAAUGGAAUUCCCGGUGUAGCGGUGAAAUGCGUAGAUAUCGUAAGGAAGACCAGUGGCGAAGGCGGGUCUCUGGACAGUUCCUGACGCUGAGGCACGAAGGCCAGGGGAGCAAACGGG
Molecule: ribosomal RNA, 253 nt
Filed under: uncultured bacterium
Lineage: Bacteria
Description: partial 16S ribosomal RNA
Rfam family: Bacterial small subunit ribosomal RNA
Source: RNAcentral